This 216-nucleotide long non-coding RNA is filed under the name Elaeis guineensis (African oil palm). RNAcentral's name for it is "long non-coding RNA (EGUI_LNC066248)". Lineage: Eukaryota; Viridiplantae; Streptophyta; Magnoliopsida; Arecales; Arecaceae. The record is from RNAcentral.
GAUGGCCCCAUCUUGUUGUACUGCGAUAGCAUGAUGCCAUUGCUCAAGUGAAGGAACCAAAGUCAUAUCAACGGAUCAAGCACAUUCUACAUCGCUACCAUCUGAUCCAGGAGAUCGUAGAUCGAGGUGACAUCGAGUUUCAGAAGAUCGAUGGAAAGAAAAACUUGACCAACCUAUUUAUUAAAGCCCUUGAUGUCAAGGAGUUCGAAGAUUAUA